Molecule: ribosomal RNA, 675 nt
Filed under: uncultured Alphaproteobacteria bacterium
Lineage: Bacteria; Pseudomonadati; Pseudomonadota; Alphaproteobacteria
Description: bacterial SSU rRNA
Rfam family: Bacterial small subunit ribosomal RNA
Source: RNAcentral
GGCCUAACACAUGCAAGUCGAGCGCCCCGCAAGGGGAGCGGCAGACGGGUGAGUAACGCGUGGGAAUGUGCCUUUUGGUUCGGAAUAACUCAGGGAAACUUGAGCUAAUACCGUAUAAGCCCUUUGGGGGAAAGAUUUAUCGCCAUUAGAGCAGCCCGCGUAAGAUUAGCUAGUUGGUGAGGUAAUGGCUCACCAAGGCUCUGAUCUUUAGCUGGUCUGAGAGGACGACCAGCCACACUGGGACUGAGACACGGCCCAGACUCCUACGGGAGGCAGCAGUGGGGAAUAUUGGACAAUGGGGGCAACCCUGAUCCAGCCAUGCCGCGUGAGUGAUGGAGGCCUUAGGGUUGUAAAGCUCUUUUACUCGGGAAGAUAAUGACUGUACCGAGAGAAUAAGCCCCGGCUAACUUCGUGCCAGCAGCCGCGGUAAUACGAAGGGGGCUAGCGUUGUUCGGAAUUACUGGGCGUAAAGCGCAUGUAGGCGGCGAUUCAAGUCGGGGGUGAAAUCCCAGGGCUCAACCCUGGAACUGCCUUCGAUACUGUCUUGCUAGAGUGUGGAAGAGGUAAGUGGAACUGCAAGUGUAGAGGUGAAAUUCGUAGAUAUUUGCAAGAACACCACUGGCGAAGGCGGCUUACUGGUCCAUUACUGACGCUGAGAUGCGAAAGCGUGGGGAG